This is a long non-coding RNA of Oncorhynchus keta (chum salmon), 2035 nucleotides long. RefSeq lists it as uncharacterized. The record is from RefSeq and is a predicted model, not a curated record. NCBI's taxonomy places the organism in Eukaryota, Metazoa, Chordata, Actinopteri, Salmoniformes, Salmonidae. The transcript has 5 exons.
GCUCUUCGUAAUUUGCAAUGUUUCUCUUCAUGAUGUCCAUGCAGGGGCCCAGCAACCUCUCAAACGCCUGCACGUCCAUAACUAGUAAACACAAGAGGAGAGGUGUCAAUACACAGGAUGGGAAGCCAUAACUAGUAGACACAAGAGGAGAGGUGUCAAUACACAGGAUGGGAAGCCAUAACUAGUAAACACAAGAGGAGAGGUGUCAAUACACAGGAUGGGAAGCCAUAACUAGUAAACACAAGAGGAGAGGUGUCAACACACAGGAUGGGAAGCCAUAACUAGUAAACACAAGAGGAGAGGUGUCAAUACACAGGAUGGGAAGCCAUAACUAGUAAACACAAGAGGAGAGGUGUCAAUACACAGGAUGGGAAGCCAUAACUAGUAAACACAAGAGGAGAGGUGUCAACACACAGGAUGGGAAGCCAUAACUAGUAAACACAAGAGGAGAGGUGUCAAUACACAGGAUGGGAAGCCAUAACUAGUAAACACAAGAGGAGAGGUGUCAAUACACAGGAUGGGAAGCCAUAACUAGUAAACACAAGAGGAGAGGUGUCAAUACACAGGAUGGGAAGCCAUAACUAGUAAACACAAGAGGAGAGGUGUCAAUACACAGGAUGGGAAGCCAUAACUAGUAAACACAAGAGGAGAGGUGUCAACACACAGGAUGGGAAGCCAUAACUAGUAAACACAAGAGGAGAGGUGUCAAUACACAGGAUGGGAAGCCAUAACUAGUAAACACAAGAGGAGAGGUGUCAACACACAGGAUGGGAAGCCAUAACUAGUAAACACAAGAGGAGAGGUGUCAACACACAGGAUGGGAAGCCAUAACUAGUAAACACAAGAGGAGAGGUGUCAAUACACAGGAUGGGAAGCCAUAACUAGUAAACACAAGAGGAGAGGUGUCAAUACACAGGAUGGGAAGCCAUAACUAGUAAACACAAGAGGAGAGGUGUCAACACACAGGAUGGGAAGCCAUAACUAGUAAACACAAGAGGAGAGGUGUCAAUACACAGGAUGGGAAGCCAUAACUAGUAAACACAAGAGGAGAGGUGUCAAUACACAGGAUGGGAAGCCAUAACUAGUAAACACAAGAGGAGAGGUGUCAACACACAGGAUGGGAAGCCAUAACUAGUAAACACAAGAGGAGAGGUGUCAAUACACAGGAUGGGAAGCCAUAACUAGUAAACACAAGAGGAGAGGUGUCAAUACACAGGAUGGGAAGCCAUAACUAGUAAACACAAGAGGAGAGGUGUCAAUACACAGGAUGGGAAGCCAUAACUAGUAAACACAAGAGGAGAGGUGUCAACACACAGGAUGGGAAGCCAUAACUAGUAAACACAAGAGGAGAGGUGUCAACACACAGGAUGGGAAGCCAUAACUAGUAAACACAAGAGGAGAGGUGUCAACACACAGGAUGGGAAGCGGUGUGAUUGUAAGCAGAGCUGUCCUCACAUCACAUGUACAGGUCCUAAAAAGGAUCCACAUGAACAACAACUCCACUUUGUUAUCAUGUUAUAAUACCCCUCUAUUCCAUGCUGUAGUGUAAAGUGUUACCAUGUCACAACAAGUGAAUGGCAGAGAAGGCUUUUGUUGGCUUUUACCUAAAUACAGAAGUGCUUCUCUCAAAAGCUGGUGCUUUCAAUAAGACAGUUAUAUCAUGGACUGAAACAGGAAGUCAAACAGUUAUAUCAUGGACUGAAACAGGAAGUCAAACAGUUAUAUCAUGGACUGAAAAAGGAAGUCAAACAGUUAUGUCAUGGACUGAAACAGGAAGUCAAACAGUUAUAUCAUGGACUGAAACAGGAAGUCAAACAGUUAUGUCAUGGACUGAAACAGGAAGUCAAACAGUUAUAUCAUGGACUGAAACAGGAAGUCAAACAGUUAUAUCAUGGACUGAAACAGGAAGUCAAACAGUUAUAUCAUGGACUGAAACAGGAAGUCAAACAGUUAUGUCAUGGACUGAAACAGGAAGUCAAACAGUUAUGUCAUGGACUGAAACAGGAAGUCAAACAGAACAUACGGUGUAGUAAAU